This 69-nucleotide transfer RNA is filed under the name Bos taurus (domestic cattle). It matches the Rfam family "tRNA". Rfam says of the family: Transfer RNA (tRNA) molecules are approximately 80 nucleotides in length. Their secondary structure includes four short double-helical elements and three loops (D, anti-codon, and T loops). Further hydrogen bonds mediate the characteristic L-shaped molecular structure. tRNAs have two regions of fundamental functional importance: the anti-codon, which is responsible for specific mRNA codon recognition, and the 3' end, to which the tRNAs corresponding amino acid is attached (by aminoacyl-tRNA synthetases). tRNAs cope with the degeneracy of the genetic code in two manners: having more than one tRNA (with a specific anti-codon) for a particular amino acid; and 'wobble' base-pairing, i.e. permitting non-standard base-pairing at the 3rd anti-codon position. The record is from Rfam by way of RNAcentral. RNAcentral also lists the same sequence under 2 other names. Lineage: Eukaryota; Metazoa; Chordata; Mammalia; Artiodactyla; Bovidae.
CCUGGUGGCUCAGAUGGUAAAGCAUCUGCCUACAAUGUAGGAGGCCUGGGUUCAAUCCCUGGGUCAGGA